Molecule: ribosomal RNA, 1437 nt
Filed under: Klebsiella pneumoniae
Lineage: Bacteria; Pseudomonadati; Pseudomonadota; Gammaproteobacteria; Enterobacterales; Enterobacteriaceae
Description: partial 23S ribosomal RNA
Rfam family: Bacterial large subunit ribosomal RNA
Source: RNAcentral
UAAUAUUCCUGUACUUGGUGUUACUGCGAAGGGGGGACGGAGAAGGCUAUGUUAGCCGGGCGACGGUUGUCCCGGUUUAAGCAUGUAGGCUGGUUAUCCAGGCAAAUCCGGAUAAUCAAGGCUGAGGUGUGAUGACGAGGCACUACGGUGCUGAAGUAACAAAUGCCCUGCUUCCAGGAAAAGCCUCUAAGCAUCAGGUAACAUCAAAUCGUACCCCAAACCGACACAGGUGGUCAGGUAGAGAAUACCAAGGCGCUUGAGAGAACUCGGGUGAAGGAACUAGGCAAAAUGGUGCCGUAACUUCGGGAGAAGGCACGCUGGUGUGUAGGUGAAGUCCCUGCGGAUGGAGCUGAGACCAGUCGAAGAUACCAGCUGGCUGCAACUGUUUAUUAAAAACACAGCACUGUGCAAACACGAAAGUGGACGUAUACGGUGUGACGCCUGCCCGGUGCCGGAAGGUUAAUUGAUGGGGUUAUCCGUAAGGAGAAGCUCUUGAUCGAAGCCCCGGUAAACGGCGGCCGUAACUAUAACGGUCCUAAGGUAGCGAAAUUCCUUGUCGGGUAAGUUCCGACCUGCACGAAUGGCGUAAUGAUGGCCAGGCUGUCUCCACCCGAGACUCAGUGAAAUUGAACUCGCUGUGAAGAUGCAGUGUACCCGCGGCAAGACGGAAAGACCCCGUGAACCUUUACUAUAGCUUGACACUGAACAUUGAGCCUUGAUGUGUAGGAUAGGUGGGAGGCUUUGAAGCGUGGACGCCAGUCUGCGUGGAGCCAACCUUGAAAUACCACCCUUUAAUGUUUGAUGUUCUAACGUUGGCCCCUGACCGGGGUUGCGGACAGUGUCUGGUGGGUAGUUUGACUGGGGCGGUCUCCUCCCAAAGCGUAACGGAGGAGCACGAAGGUUAGCUAAUCCUGGUCGGACAUCAGGAGGUUAGUGCAAUGGCAUAAGCUAGCUUGACUGCGAGCGUGACGGCGCGAGCAGGUGCGAAAGCAGGUCAUAGUGAUCCGGUGGUUCUGAAUGGAAGGGCCAUCGCUCAACGGAUAAAAGGUACUCCGGGGAUAACAGGCUGAUACCGCCCAAGAGUUCAUAUCGACGGCGGUGUUUGGCACCUCGAUGUCGGCUCAUCACAUCCUGGGGCUGAAGUAGGUCCCAAGGGUAUGGCUGUUCGCCAUUUAAAGUGGUACGCGAGCUGGGUUUAGAACGUCGUGAGACAGUUCGGUCCCUAUCUGCCGUGGGCGCUGGAGAAUUGAGGGGGGCUGCUCCUAGUACGAGAGGACCGGAGUGGACGCAUCACUGGUGUUCGGGUUGUCAUGCCAAUGGCACUGCCCGGUAGCUAAAUGCGGAAGAGAUAAGUGCUGAAAGCAUCUAAGCACGAAACUUGCCCCGAGAUGAGUUCUCCCUGAGACUUUAAGUCUCCUGAAGGAACGUUAAAGACGA